Molecule: ribosomal RNA, 379 nt
Filed under: Pinnularia sp. NE-K02
Lineage: Eukaryota; Bacillariophyta; Bacillariophyceae; Sellaphorales; Pinnulariaceae
Also listed under: 5 other names
Description: SSU rRNA
Rfam family: Eukaryotic small subunit ribosomal RNA
Source: RNAcentral
AUUCCAGCUCCAAUAGCGUAUAUUAAAGUUGUUGCAGUUAAAAAGCUCGUAGUUGGAUGUGUGGUGGCUCUGUGCGGUCCAAAUUCUUUUGGUGCUGUGUUGAGCUGCCAUCCUUGGGUGGAACCUGUGGGGCAUUAGGUUGUUCUGCAGGGGAUGCCCAUCGUUUACUGUGAAAAAAUUAGAGUGUUCAAAGCAGGCUUACGCCGUUGAAUAUAUUAGCAUGGAAUAAUGAGAUAGGACUUUGGUGCUAUUUUGUUGGUUUGCGCGCCGAAGUAAUGAUUAAUAGGGACAGUUGGGGGUAUUCGUAUUCCAUUGUCAGAGGUGAAAUUCUUGGAUUUCUGGAAGACGAACUACUGCGAAAGCAUUUACCAAGGAUGUU